CUUCUGCUGCCUCAGUUAUGCACUGGAAUGCAAUCCAGAGAAAUCAGAACUACAGUCACCAGCUCUGAAGACAAAUAGGAACAGCAGCACAGAUCACAGCUGAAAUGGAAGAAUCAGUUUAGCAGUCCAAAGGCAACUAGUGCAAGAAUUCUUCUACAAGCUCCUUGCCACAGGCACCUCCAUACCUCCUUUAGAUGAAACACAAUGCAGAAGUGCCAAAACAUCACAGAAGAUUAGAUAUGAGCUAAAGAAAAAAUAAAGAGAAUGAGAAUAUAGACAAUAUAGAAAAUGGGUACACAAUAUCCAAGAACAUUCUGAAUUGGCCUGAGAUUGUCACAAGCAUCAUAAAGAUGAUGCAGAAAAACUAUACCUUCACUGCAGCACUGAACAAUUCUUCCUCCAAAUCUGAAGAGCAGAAGAAAAUUAAGUUGAAUUGUUCUAUUAAACCUGAAGUGUUACUGUAUGGCACAUAGUAAAAGUAAUGUAGGGAGGAGACAGAAAAGUGAAGACAAGAGGAAGAUGCACAGCCCCACCUUCCAUCAUUGAAAGCACAAUACUAAGCUUCACUUGAUGAGAGCCGAGAACUUAAAAGACACUUCAAAGCCUUACAUGAAAACCCUACAGAAAGUAAUAAAAAUAAAAAAAAAGAAAAAAAAUCCUUG
Long non-coding RNA from Parus major (Great Tit), 662 nucleotides. RefSeq lists it as uncharacterized. The transcript is spliced from 3 exons. Lineage: Eukaryota; Metazoa; Chordata; Aves; Passeriformes; Paridae. The record is from RefSeq and is a predicted model, not a curated record.